Molecule: long non-coding RNA, 9711 nt
Organism: Chelonia mydas (Green sea turtle)
Lineage: Eukaryota; Metazoa; Chordata; Testudines; Cheloniidae
Exons: 2
Source: RefSeq, a predicted model, not a curated record
GGGUGUCUGUAAUCUAGCCCCGGAGAAAGGGGGUGGCUUUAAUCCCGGUUGAAAGGGGGCCGCGGCCUAUCUAUUGGGGUGAGUCGAAAAUAUGGUGGGGAGAUGUAAUCCGGAUGGGGGGUGGGAGGGGGUUUGUAAACAGCCCCAGAGAGGAUCUUUAAUCCGGACCCUGAAUGCGAGGGUGGGUAUUUAAUCCGGAGUCCCUUUGUGCUUAAUCCCGGGGAUUCCCGAGUCUCAGGGAGACUCGUGUGCGGGGGUGGGUGUCCCAGUCGGGGGAAGACUGAGCUUCAUUAAGGGCUGAAAUGUAAUUUUCCUUCUCGGUCCGGAGCUGUGGAAGGUAAAGUGCCUGCGUCUUGCCACGCCCACCCCGUGCCCUCCCGCAAGCUUGCUGUGGACACCGUGUUACACAGGAGGAGGCAUGUUCUCCUUUGCCGUUCGCACUGGGGGGCGGCGGCGGCGGCGGCGGGGAGAGAGGCGCCCGCGCCUUCUCCACUCCCAGCGGAUCGUUUGCCUACAGCUUGUCAAAUCGGGGAGUGAGGUAGUUGUUGUUCUGCCCCAUAUGCGGACUGUGAUUGCUGUCCUGGAGAAGGAGGGAUGAUUCCCCCAACUCCCUACUUGCAUUCCUUCGUGAAGCCUCCAUAUGUGGUGGCCCCCCACCUUGACAAAUUCUCCCGACGGGGAAAUGUGGUGAUUUGUAGUUUAUCCUCUUCCAACCAGUUGAGCGAUGCCUCCCUCCGAAGUUUACAUUCAAAAGCAGGUGCCAAGCAGCAAGGAUUUGUUGCAAUGAUAGGACUCCGAAAUUCCUUUCCUCCACCCAGCUAUCACCACCACCGAAGACUUCCCCUAACUUUCAUUCCGAGGUAGGGAGAUUACCUUUUAGGGAUUAAUUUAAAAGCAGUUAUACACAGUUUUCUCCCAUUGGUGAGGAAAAGCUUUAUUGUGAGUGUAUUGCUGCUGAUAUAUUUACAAUCUCACUUAGGCUUUGUGAAAUUUCCCUCAGUCCCUACUAUCCCAGUUUGAGAACAGCUCUGUUGCCGACUGUUCUGUUUCCUGGGAGUUGUUUGUGUUGUUCCUUCAACAGCAGGAAUAAUAAAAAGAACUAGUUCCUCACAUACCAGUAGACAGCAUAGAUAUAUAAUAUUCAGAGAAGCAGAGGAGCCAGUGAAACAAAAUCAAACACCUUGACCUAUUUUGUACUACAUUGGCUUUAAAGGUGUAGCUAACUUCUAAACCUUUUGCCAUAAUAAUCAAAAUACGUUAACUUAAGUACAAUGAGAUAAUAGUUAUUCUUGAUUUUCACAUUUUCUCCUCUGUUCUUUUAUCAUAAUAUUUAUUCCAUUAAAAUAUAAUCUCUUUCCUCUCAUGAUAAAAUUAAUAUAUUUUUGCCCCAGAGGCCCCUAGCCUGUUCUCUCACCCACAAGUAUUUUUUGUCACCACAUCAUGUUAUUAUCUCUUAAUAAACAUAAAAUGCCAUUACUUUGCAUGGAGUUUUAUGGAGAUUAAAUAAAAACAUGGUUCCUGCUACAAAGAUUGUAAAAUCUAGGAUACCUGAACUAGUGGAGAACCUCACUGGCAGUUCCGUGCGGCUGCAGAGAUCCACCCAUGGAUGUCAUUGUAGGACUGGGGCCUACAAGCCUAGAACAGGAAUAUAGACAGAGAAAGGUGGCUAGUGAAAGGAGAGAUGAGGGAAUCAACUGUGUAUAUUAAGGCAAAAGAAGAGGGGUUCUCAGGAGAGAUUUGAUGGUGCAAUUUGAGGAUGGAUGGUGAACUGAUAGAGUGGUGUUUCACAUGUAGGGAAUAGCAUGUAAAAAGCAAGAGAGGGAGGAGAGGACAAAAAACAAGGUGAGAAGAGUGCAGGCCAUGAAAUGAGGAGUAGAGACUUGACAGGUUGGUGGUGCAGAGCCUUAAAAGUGAAGAUGAGGAAUUUAAACUUUAGAGGAAAUGAAUUUGAGGGAGUUGAAUGGUCAAAACAGCAGCAAUAGAUUAUUUAAUCUUUUUAUUGGGCGGGAGUUAAGAGAGAGUCAAGGAUUUGUCUAUAAUAGUCCAGACAGAAUAGAACUAUGGCUUGAACCGGUUUUGACAGUGGAGAGAAAGAUAAAGGUGCAGAUUUUAUAAAUGUUUUAAAGGCAGAAGCAGCAAGAUUGGGCAAGUCUGUAUAUGAGCAGAUAAAGGAAGGGAGGAGUGAAAGAUUAACCAAGUCUGUGAGUGUGAGUGACCAAUUCGAAAACAAAAACAGUAGAGUGGUGAGUAUUAAUGAAGAAAGGGAAAAGGCUAGAGAGUUAGGAUCAUAGGCUAGGAGUUCAGUUUUUCCAUGUUUCGUUUAAGGAAGCAGCAAGUCACCCAUAAAGAGACAGGAAGAAAUGAGGCCCUGGAUGUAAGGGUAGAGGUAUAUGUGAGAGUUAUCAAUACAGAGGUCGUAAGAAACCAUGAGAGUUCAUAAAGUCACGCAGGGGCAAGGGUAGAGAGGAAAAGAGAGGGGACCAAAGGCAGUGAGUUUUCCUUGUCCUUCCAUAUGACAGCACCUGUACUACUGGAGCUGCCCUGAAAGAGAGUGUGUCAGAUAGGGUUACCCCCUGGAGAAGAUAUAGGUUUCUAUUUACAUAUGAAUUAAAUGUGAUGACAAAAAGUAACUGUCAGUUUUAUGCUAAUGCCUAAAUAAAUAUACAGUUGAGGCUAUUGAAAGUAGCAUUUCCAGCAGGAAAGGAUUUACAUAUUGUCUUGAUUUCCCUGCAGGAUCUCAAGUAAUCUCCAUUACAAUAUUACAAUUACAAUACAUUGUUUCCUUCAAAACUGUGGGGGGGGGGGGGGGGAGGUGAAUUGCAGACGCCUAUACCACACACAAUGCCUUGCCAACCUUCAGUGUUUGAUGUCAAGAACCUAUGCUAAUGCAGGGCUCCCACACAAGUUUUAUUGCCAGAAGUAUAGAUCAGCAACAUACUAAUAAAUGACAGCGCUACCAGUGAAUUAUGGAGGUCAUCUCAAAUGAAUGACAAUAGAAACUAUAGUUUUCUACCACACUGUAUAUUUUGUUUAUACUAUAUUGAUUAGAAAACAGGUAUUAAAGAGAAAAUGUACAUAUUAGUAUUAUGGUGUGUGACUCUCCGUGUAAAGUCAUGCUAAAUAAGAGGUAAAUAAGACCAUGUGACUUUACAGUUAGGAAAAACAGUCCAACAUACAUACUAGUGUAUUAAUUAAAUAUCAGGCUGCUACAAACACAACAUUUCCCAAAUAUUGCUGAGAUAGGUCAGGUAUCUUUUAUAAGGGAAGCUGAGUGACAUCUGCUGAUUUGUUUCAUUUCUUUGAAGUCAUUGCAGCUGAGACUGAUGAAUGAACAGGGUGUAACUUGCAUCGCUGAGGUCCACAAGUGCGGAAUAAAGUCAGUUUAUCUAAUGGUUUGCAUUUUAUGCACACAGUAUAAAUCCGCUUGCUCUAACGGCAAGCCCUAAGACCUUUGUAGCUUUUUGGCACACUGGCUUGGGUUACUUGCCUCUGUUCUAUACCUGGGAAAUCCAUACUGAAUUGUGCUUAUCUCAGUGUUUUACAUUUUUAUGCUUGAUUAUUGUUUGAUUUGAAGGAUAUCAUUUUUUCAGUCUUUUAACAUAAAUGUGCUUAGAAAGGAUCCCACUUAAAAAGAAUCAGCUCUUUAUAGUGCCUGAUCUUGAUAUUUUAUCUCUCAGGGCUUUACUGAAAGGUCUUUCAGUGAUCUCUCUAAUGAUUCUUUGAUUGUCCUAAUCUCUAUUUUAUGUUCAGUACUUAAGUUUAUUUAAAUGUAUAUAGUGAAAUGUACAUAUAAAGACAAGUAUGUGUUUGGAUUUUAAACUAAUGUAUAUAAAUUUAAAACCCUCAACACUAGUGUGAAAGUAUUUAGAUUAUUUUGGUUCUUGUUGUGUUAACAAAUAAAAUUUUGGUUUCAAAUACAGCAAUUAUCUUCCUUUCAAGAGCUGAGCUUCAGUUGGCUUUAUAUAACAGGGACCUGAUUUUCAGAGAUGUCGAACACUUGCAACUCAAACUGAAGACAGUAGGAGCUGCAGAUGCUAUUGUCUCUGAAAUCAGACUCCAAGUAUUUAAUGUUACAAAAGAUCCUUUUCUGAGAUAUGUGCCAAUGCAAUUUUUGAAUCUGUGGAGAUAAAUUAGAAAAUCUUUCUUUUAUACAUCAGAAAACUAGAUGGAAUUAAGAGAUUUAACAGCUGAAAUUUAAAUACUGUAAUACAGUACUUGUGGUUUAGCAGGCUUAACUCAUGAAGCUUGGCCUGCUGAGAUCUUUUUUGGUAGCUCAUUGGUUGCCACUUUGUUUCUGUAGAAUUUAAGAUCUUAUUUAAAAAAAAAAAAAUUACUGUUUAGAAUGUCUUUUCCAGGGGGAAAACCCUGUAUGGGGAAAGGAAACAGGAACUGCUGACUCUGAUUUUCCUAAGAAUUGUCCUAUUGGGGGAAAAGACAGAAUUUACUCUCCCACGGAAUUGGUUGCGUUCAGUUCUCUAAAUCUGCAGAUUGUGGGAGCACUAUUGGAGGCAACUACAUCAUUAUGGAGGCCUUUUGUCCCUCUGCACUCUAUUGGGGCUGCCCAGGAAUGCUGCCCCUAGACACUGAUGGUUGUGGGUCACUGUGUAGGGGUCCACACUACCUGAGGUCUUAUUAUUCGCUCAGCAUUAUCUUUCUCAGGGAUGCCCCAUCAGGUUUGAAGAGAUUGUGCCACAGAUACUUGCAUGUAUGGAAUAUAUGAAGAAAGCUCUCUCCCCUUCCAUGGCCCCAUAAGGAAGAUACCCUGGAAAUUGGGUCCCCCUGCUUUUGAAAGUGGAGGUACCUAUCCAGCCCAAAGUUUCUAGCCCUUACAAAUAUGAACCUGUGCAGUGCUGCCUUUCUGAGUCUGCAGAGAGGGAGCUUGAAACUAUAGCUCUGAAUGAUGGUAGAGAAACAAAUAAAACCAAACACUUGGAAAAUGUUUUGGAUAUACUGAAAACAACAAUAUUCUGAUUCUUAUAGAACUAUACUUCACACCUUGAAUACAGUGAAUGUCCAGAAUUCUUUCCCAGCUGCUUCUACGGUAAUCAAGUGGCCCCACAAAGAAGAGCCUGGAAGCCUAUAAAAGUAGCUGAAAAUAAGGAAAAAACUACUUUAGCUGCCUCUUCUAGGUCAAGCUGCUUUCAGGGACCAAAGUCAGCAGUAGAACUGGAUCCGCUAUGGGAAAAGAUGUGUCCAGUGGUGCAACUGGAUCCACUAUUGUGCAGUAGGUGGUUCCGACCAAGCAGUAAGGAAGGAGAGAGGAAGAAAAGGGAGCAAAGUAACAGAGCAUGUGCACAACUGUUGGGAAAGAGGGAGAGGGUGGGUGGUACAUAAAGACAUCCUCUCUAUAAAAGUGUCCACACAAUGAAAAUGUUUCAGAAUGCCUAUGCUAUGUUUUCAUCUAAAUUUCUUGGGCCUACUUUAACUGAGAUUAAUAGUCAAACUCCAGUUCACUUCAGUGGGAACAGGAUUGGGUCCACUGUUGAUACAUUAUAAGAACUGCCAUUCCCAGGAUGGAAGUUAGUCUCAUGUUGACUUUUCAGUUUUUGUCAAAUUGUUCAGGCCAAUUAUAUUGAAGAUAGUGAAGGCUACAAAACUGUAUUUACAGUUUGAACUAAAAUUGGAUUUGUAAUGAACUGGCACAGAAGUUAUGAAUUGCAUGGAAGAUGUUAAUCUGAGUUCUGGCUAACUUUUCUUUUUAGGCUUUUACUCCAUGACGAUUAGGGGGCAUUCUAAAUUGUAGUAGUGUCCAAGCUAGGAUAGGAUUUUGUUGUUAAAUGUAGACAAUAGUGAAGGCUUUGGUACUUACGUUACUUUCUGUGUCAAAUAGACUGCAAAAAGGGCACUGUAAGGUUCCGUGUUUAUUGUCUCUGUGAUUCCAAAUCAUACCCACUCCCUUUACUAUUAAUAUUUUUUUCCACACUGGCCCUGAACACAGUGCCUGCGAUUUCAAAAUUGAACUGGGUUCUUUCUGGAAGCUGAAUUCUGCUACUAGUUACAUUAAUGCAAUCUCAUUUCCCACAAAUUCUGCACUUGGGUUUCUAGUUCUGCACUUGGGUUUCUAGUUCUAGAAUUUGUCUGUAGAAUCUUUAUCAUAUAUUGAUAAAUUAAUUUCAAAUAAAUGAAGAUGAACCUGUUUAUGCCAGUAGCAAAUUUGAGUAUCAUAAACAGAAUAUAUUAUUGUUUUAAUUCCUUUGUUCAUCAUGUGCAGAAGACAGAUCAGUAUAUUACUGUGUAAUGUCUCCAACAGAUCUAGGACUUUAAAAACAACAGCUGGGCAAAACCUUUCGAAUAAAGCAGAUUAAACUUUUCUAGUUAUAAAGCCAAAUUGAUGCCCACAUCUUCACAAUCCUUCAGAAAACAAGAGCAGGGAGUGGGUUUUUUCUAGGAAGGAAUUUAUGGUUUUAUUCAAAACCAUGCAGAACACUAAGGUUUCUUAUAGUUGUAACCCAAAACCAAAGAAAGUGUGUCAGAUUCUGCAGGGUUUCACUUUGAGUUUUCUGGUUUGUUUGAACUUGAAACACUGAUUAUUAAAGGUGGUGUGGGGACCAAAAUGCAAAGAAUUGACAAAUUGCAUGCAAAGUGGAUUUUGCAUGAUUCUAGUGGAUUCCGGGGUGUCUUCCUUUGCCUCAGCACCCUUGCUCCCGCUUUGCUGCUGCUUCUCCUCCUCCUGCCUUGUUGAACUGGGCUCUGAAGUGUCCAUGGUGGUACUCGGAGUGGAGGUGGGGUCACCCCCAAGUAUCACAUCCAGCUCUUUGUAGAAACGGCAGGUCACAGGGGCAGCACCGGAGUGGCUGUUUGCCUCACGGACUUGGUGGUAGGCAUUCCGCAGCUCCUUCACUUUAAUCCUGCUGUGCAGUGCAGUGCGUCUCGGUCAUGGCCCCUUUCCAUCAUGUCCCUUGAUCUCUGUCCGUAGGUAUCAGAAUUCCUAUGGCUGGAGCGCAGCUGGGACUGGACAGCUUCCUCCCCCCAAACACUGAUGAGGUCCAGCACCUUGCCAUUGCUCCAUACUGGGGAUCGCCUGGCACGUGGAGGCAUGGUCACCUGGAAAGAUUCGCUGAGAGCACUCCACGCCUGGCUGAGCAAACAGAAAGGGGAUUUUCAAAAUUCCCAGAGAAUUUAAAGGGCGGGUCUGACAGUUGGUCAACUGAGGGCAGGGCAGUAGAGUUCAAAGUGAUGACCAGAGUGGCUAGAACAGGCAUUGUGGGACACUUCUGGAGGCCGAUCAGAGCGCACUAACAGACCAGGGCAUCCACACUAGUGCCGCGGCACUCCAGCGGGAGUGUACAAAACGUUAUUCCACUUGCUGAGGUGGAGUACCAGGAGCGCUCUAGCCAUGGAGUCAGAGUGUUCUACGUGCCUUUCCAAUUGUGGACUGGUAGUGAGCUAAUGCCUCGGGGCUUUUUUAAUGCUCUGUAACUCGCAAGUGUAGCCAAGCCCGCAGCCUGUCUACACCCCCUACUCCCCAAAUGCUAGCAGUGUCCUGGCUUUUCUUCUUCUUCCUUUUGCUCCUGGACAUCCUUUUCUUUUUCCUCUACGUCUUACCUCAACUGCUUUGUUCGUUUUUCUCAAAUGUGCAGCGUGCUACCUAGUUCUCAUCUGUAGACAUUUCUCUGCUCCUUUUGGCUCCCAUCUCUGAUAGCUCCUGGUGUUGGCUUGCAGCCCAUCUUGCUGUUCCCUAUGUUCCCUUUGUUGGUGCAAUAACUGACCCAUACUGGAGGCAACAAGGAUCGUUUGUGAUGAAAAACCUGGAUAUCUGUAUAAACUUCUUGACUAAGGAAAUGGAACUUGCAACCUGUGACCUACCAGCUUUCUGCAGAUCACCCCCGAGUGAGAGCUGUUGUGUUAGGCAGUCACUGGAUAAUCCCUUGAGUGAAGAGAUUAGGUAGUUAACACACUAGAACUUUAUAAUUUAACAGCAGUUUUAGGUCCUUAGAUCUUUUAUGUAUAUUUUCACUUGUGCUUAAAGUUUCUGUUGCAGGGUGAUUAAGUAUUUCUCCCUUCUGCUGUGGUUGGGUUUUGAAAGCAUUUAUUUUGAGAGAUUACUUUUCAUGUUAAUAUGGAGACUGGUGCAUCUUCAGCAUUACGAGCCGGGGGGAAAGCAAGCACUCAGUGUCAAAUAUGCUGUACAGUUUCCUAUUAUGGCAGAGGGUUUGAGGGCAGAGUGAAGUGCUCUAGUAAGAUUAGGCAAUAAAAACAUACUAGAAUAACACUGUUUUGGAAACAGAUUUAUUAUACGUAUUGCAAAGCAGUCAGGAGUUAUUGUUAAAAUUACAGAUAGAACAGCCAGUACAUUUGGGGAAUGUGUGCAGGUUCUGAAGAGAAUCCAUUUAUUAACCUUUCUUGCUAUGAAAAUUUAUAGCUGAUAAAUCUGUUACAGACACAAAUACAAAUGAGGCAGAAUAUGUUUUAAAGCAUAGGUUCUCAACAUUAGGCUCACACCUCACCCAUCCCUUUUUUAUGGCUAGAUGGAGAGGCCCCAAAACUUUUCUUUUGUAAUAUGGGGUCACAAUAUGAAAAAAGGUUGAUAACCAUAGUUUUAAAAGAACUAUUGAUCACAGUAAUCUAGUGGUUUCAUUAUUUGCUUACAAGUGUUCCUUCUUCCCCCCCAAGACUGGUGGUACUAAUCUAACCACAGGUAAAAUUCUUCUAUGAUGCACUAGCUAGGGCUGGGCUUUGUUUCAGGAAAGAGCUAUCCCAUUAAAACAAACUCUAGUUAAUUUUACAUGCACAGUUAGUUAUUAAAACAUGCAAUCUUCCCUAAGCAAUUUUGACAGCAGCAUGGUUGUAGGGAUAUUCAAAGUACCCACUAAAUUUUGAUUGAAGUCAAUUUCUCAUUGACUAAUGGGAGCAGGAUCUAACUCCUCAAGCCCCUCAUGAGUCAACGGGUAUUCCUCUGACUCACUUUUCACACAGUACUUACGGUUUUGCUCCUUCACUAUGCCCAUUAAGUGUAAAAGUAUUCAUUUUUUUAGUAUCUUUCAUUAGAUUUCAAAAUACAUUAUGAAAAGGUAGAUAUCCUCAUUUUAUCCAACUAAAGAGCAAUCAAGGGAUUUGUCCAACAUUAUUCAUUUGACAGAACUGGAAACAGAACUUAGAAAUGCUGAUAUCCAGCCAUUUGUGUGACGGAUAUGGCAAUAUCCUGCAAUGUCCUUAAAAUACCUUAUUGUAUGAAGUUUAUGUAUUAUUGUGUGCUGGGAUUGUAUGUAACUUCUUUACGGGGGAGAUGUGACAGAGAUUGUAACAUCCUGCAGUAUUUUUGGGAUCCAUUGUUUAAAAUGAAUGGUUUAUGUAUGAUUGUGUUAUUCCAGGUGGGAGGGAAGCUCAUCCAGGAACUAAAAACGGUGGGUGGUGAUUAAGGCAAAUCAGCCAGUUUGUAACCACCUCAGAGCAGUAUCUCCUCCUGGGGAGGCUCACAUAUAUUAAAUCAACCAAUUUCUCUUGAGACCAACAGACAAAGAAAGGACUUUUGGAUAGUCUGAGAUUAAACUGACUCAAGGCCUUCUUUCUGAUCCAGCAAACAUACAGAACCUUUCUAUCCAACAGAGGGGGACCCCAAUCCUUAGGGAAAGUUUGGAAGAACUUGACCUACUAAGGCACCUAUACGAUUAAUGGGUGACCUCUGAUAAGCUUAUUAGUAUGUGUGUAGGUUUUUAUUCUUAAUGUUUUCUCUGUAAUUUCUGUGUGCUUAUAUAAAGAGCUGAGUGGUAA